RNAcentral lists this ribosomal RNA (207 nucleotides) under uncultured bacterium. Its description in RNAcentral is "partial 16S ribosomal RNA". It matches the Rfam family "Bacterial small subunit ribosomal RNA", at positions 568 to 774 of the family's 1533-position model. The record is from RNAcentral.
UGCGUAGACGGUUAUUUAAGUCGGGUGUGAAAGCCCCGGGCUCAACCUGGGAAUUGCAUUCGAGACUGAAUAGCUAGGGUACGGUAGAGGGAAGCGGAAUUUCCGGUGUAGCGGUGAAAUGCGUAGAUAUCGGAAGGAACAUCAGUGGCGAAAGCGGCUUCCUGGACCAGUACCGACGUUCAAGCACGAAAGCGUGGGGAGCAAACA